AUGGAUUUUUUGAGCUAUUCUGAGUGUUUACAUAGUCAGACGUUUACUCAUUCUGGUCACAAAAAGGUUUUAUUUAUUUAUUUUUUUCUUUCUGGAAUUAGAAAGGUAUUCAUGGUCUCUCAAACAACUGGAGAAGUAAAACUUAGCAUUCCAGCAUCAGGAAUAAGAAAGAUGACCCAACACAACAAAGCACCAGGUGACAUGAUGAGGAAGCUCAAGACGGAUGCAGUUGUUAUAUAUUUGGUGUCUUGACUAUGCCUGCCAGAGCCUUUAAAGUCAGCUGUAAGAACCAAAACUUUCUGUGAACUUUGCGAGACAUCCUCCAGGAGAAAACCUACAACCAGGUAAGAAUCACUGGCUGGAUGUUUGUGUCCAUAUCUUAGCAUCUUUUUCUUGCAAGAUUUAGGACAGUAUCUGCUAGAAUAAAUAUUUGUAGAAGGACUGAAUAAAUCA
RNAcentral lists this long non-coding RNA (453 nucleotides) under Oryctolagus cuniculus (rabbit). Its description in RNAcentral is "lncRNA (ENSOCUG00000037886.1)". Lineage: Eukaryota; Metazoa; Chordata; Mammalia; Lagomorpha; Leporidae. The record is from RNAcentral.